Molecule: non-coding RNA, 219 nt
Organism: Pelobates cultripes (western spadefoot toad)
Lineage: Eukaryota; Metazoa; Chordata; Amphibia; Anura; Pelobatidae
Source: the annotation of a GenBank genome assembly
UGCAAUUACUAUCAGCUCCUUUUGCAUGUUGCCACGGUUACUCACCUGAGAGUAGUAAUCAACCCUGCUGCUAAUCAGUGCUGCCUAUUUAAGCAGCAAAUCCCAGAACCUCCUUGCCCUUGCGUGGUUUCCUGUCCCCCAGAAGUCUCCUUGUUCCUGUGUUUCCUGUUUGCUCCUGGUUCCUGACUCCGGCCUUGUUCCUGACUCCGCUGCUCUCCG